AAUGAACGCUGGCGGCAGGCCUAACACAUGCAAGUCGAACGGAUCCUUCGGGAUUAGUGGCGGACGGGUGAGUAACGCGUGGGAACAUACCCAAAGGUACGGAAUAGCCUCGGGAAACUGGGAGUAAUACCGUAUGUGCUCGAAAGAGGAAAGAUUUAUCGCCUUUGGAUUGGCCCGCGUUGGAUUAGGUAGUUGGUGGGUAAUGGCCUACCAAGCCGACGAUCCAUAGCUGGUUUGAGAGGAUGAUCAGCCACACUGGGACUGAGACACGGCCCAGACUCCUACGGGAGGCAGCAGCGGGGAAUUUUAGACAAUGGGGGAAACCCUGAUCUAGCCAUGCCGCGUGAUCGAUGAAGGCCUUAGGGUUGUAAAGAUCUUUCAGGUGGGAAGAUAAUGACUGUACCACCAGAAGAAGCCCCGGCUAACUCCGUGCCAGCCGCCGCCGUAA
RNAcentral lists this ribosomal RNA (448 nucleotides) under uncultured bacterium. Its description in RNAcentral is "partial 16S ribosomal RNA". It matches the Rfam family "Bacterial small subunit ribosomal RNA", at positions 29 to 523 of the family's 1533-position model. The record is from RNAcentral.